AACGAACGCUGGCGGCAUGCCUAACACAUGCAAGUCGAACGAGACCUCCGGGUUUAGUGGCGCACGGGUGCGUAACGCGGGGGAACCUGCCCUUAGGUUCGGAAUAACUCCCCGAAAGGGGUGCUAAUACCGGAUAAUGUCUUCGGACCAAAGAUUUAUUGCCUUUGGAUGGGCGCGCGUUGGAUUAGCUGGUUGGUAGGGUAUAAGCAGACCAAGGCGACGAUCCAUAGCUGGUCUGAGAGGAUGAUCAGCCACACUGGGACUGAGACACGGCCCAGACUCCUACGGGAGGCAGGGGUAGGGAAUAUUGGACAAUGAGCGAAAGCCUGAUCCAGCGAUGCCGCGUGAGUGAUGAAGGCCUUAGGGUUGUAAAGCUCUUUUAGCCGAGAUGAUAAUGACGGUACCGGGAGAAUAAGCUCCGGCUAACUCCGUG
RNAcentral lists this ribosomal RNA (433 nucleotides) under uncultured bacterium. RNAcentral describes it as "partial 16S ribosomal RNA". It matches the Rfam family "Bacterial small subunit ribosomal RNA", at positions 29 to 507 of the family's 1533-position model. The record is from RNAcentral.